AGCUUUCUGUGUGUUAACUGAAAGUUGAAGGAAGAUGGGAGCCGGUGGAGUGGUGGCUGUCAGCCACCAGUGUCUUGGUAUCCCUCCAGCUUGUUUACUUGACAAUUGUCUCCAGGUAUUAAACUCUCCCAACAUAGAGGUUUGAAGGAAAUGAUUUUUUUCACACCCAUGUCAAAAUUGUGGGAAGUUGUUUUUUUUUUUUCAAGGGUGGAGGGCAUGCCUCAAAGUAGGACAAGACAACCACAAAUCUUUUGUAAUAGACAUCCUAAAGCUGAUUGGAAUGGCUGAGUAGAGUAAUGACAUCUGACAUGUAUGCUGGGUCAACAUGGCCCUGGUACACUUACGUUUCUCCUGGGAAAUUCAUGUUUAUAAGAGUCCUUUAAUGAACUAUUUAUGUGUGUAGUAAUAAAAUAUACUUUAAUGUACAAA
Long non-coding RNA from Pogoniulus pusillus (Red-fronted tinkerbird), 429 nucleotides. RefSeq lists it as uncharacterized. The transcript is spliced from 2 exons. The record is from RefSeq and is a predicted model, not a curated record. NCBI's taxonomy places the organism in Eukaryota, Metazoa, Chordata, Aves, Piciformes, Lybiidae.